This 433-nucleotide ribosomal RNA is filed under the name uncultured bacterium. RNAcentral describes it as "partial 16S ribosomal RNA". It matches the Rfam family "Bacterial small subunit ribosomal RNA", at positions 29 to 507 of the family's 1533-position model. The record is from RNAcentral.
AACGAACGCUGGCGGCAUGCCUAACACAUGCAAGUCGAACGAGACCUUCGGGUCUAGUGGCGCUCGGGUGCGUAACGCGGGGGAACCUGCCCUUAGGUUCGGAAUAACUCCCCGAGAGGUGUGCUAAUACCGGAUGAUGUCUUAGGACCAAAGAUUUAUCGCUGUUGGAUGGGCGCGCGUUGGAUUAGCGAGUUGGUAGGGUAAUAGCCUGCCAAGGAGACGUUGCUGGGCUGGUCGGUGAGGAUGCCACUCCACGCUGGGCCUGCGGCACGGACCAGUACCGUACGGAGGGGAGCGGUAGGGUAUAUUAGGGGAGGGGCGAAAGCGUGAUAAAGCAAUGUCGCGGGAGUGAUGAAGGCCUUAGGGUUGUAAAGCCCUUUUAGCCGAGAUGUUAAUGACAGUACCGGGAGAAUAAGCUCCGGCUAACUACGUG